CGGGUGACGGGGAAUCAGGGUCCGAUUCCGGAGAGGGAGCCUGAGAAAUGGCUACCACUUCUACGGAAGGCAGCAGGCGCGCAAAUUACUCAAUCCCAAUACGGGGAAGUAGUGACAAAAAAUACUAAUGCCUUUCCAUUUAUAUGGGGGGCAAUUGGAAUAAGUACAACUUAAAUCGCUUAGCAAAAGUGAUUGGAGGGCAAGUCUGGUGCCAGCAGCCGCGGUAAUUCCAGCUCCAAUAGCGUAUACUAAAUUUGUUGCAGUUAAAAAGCUCGUAGUUGAGAUUGAGAUUUCUUAGGUUUAGAGUCGCUUGGCCUUCGGGUUUGAGUUUGAUUCGUAAAGCUUUAUAGUAGAAUUCCAUUUUAUUAUUAAAGUUACUAAGAAAUUUCUAUCUGCCCAUGGUAGCUAGCAAUAGUUAUCAAUCGGGUGAUCUACUGUGAGAAAAUUGUAGUGUUCAAAGCAGGCGUCUUACGUUUGUUCAAUGCAGCAUGGUAUAGUAAAAUAUGACACUAAAUAUAUGUUGGUUGUAUAUUCUUAGUGUAAUGACUAAUAGGGAAGGGCGGGGCCGU
RNAcentral lists this ribosomal RNA (569 nucleotides) under uncultured Heterostelium. Its description in RNAcentral is "bacterial SSU rRNA". It matches the Rfam family "Eukaryotic small subunit ribosomal RNA", at positions 356 to 891 of the family's 1831-position model. The record is from RNAcentral. Lineage: Eukaryota; Evosea; Eumycetozoa; Acytosteliales; Acytosteliaceae.